UCAUUAACAAGAUAACCAUCCGGAUUCAAACUCACAUAAUAUACGUUUAACCAUUACACUUUCCUCUGUCAAUCACUCGAAACUAUCUCAUCCGUAAUCAUUUUUAACCGAUAUAUCAAAUCAAAGAAAUUGCCUACUAACAUUUUU
RNAcentral lists this small RNA (147 nucleotides) under Arabidopsis thaliana (thale cress). RNAcentral's name for it is "ATSL082630". The record is from RNAcentral. Lineage: Eukaryota; Viridiplantae; Streptophyta; Magnoliopsida; Brassicales; Brassicaceae.